Molecule: small nucleolar RNA, 75 nt
Filed under: Ursus americanus (American black bear)
Lineage: Eukaryota; Metazoa; Chordata; Mammalia; Carnivora; Ursidae
Also listed under: 1 other name
Description: Small nucleolar RNA SNORD113/SNORD114 family
Rfam family: Small nucleolar RNA SNORD113/SNORD114 family
About the family: The imprinted human domain at 14q32 contains two clusters of tandemly repeated small nucleolar RNAs named 14q(I) and 14q(II) snoRNAs. These two clusters are named SNORD113 and SNORD114 respectively in the HGNC approved gene symbol nomenclature. The snoRNAs found in both clusters are clearly related and are represented here by a single family.
Source: Rfam by way of RNAcentral
UGUACCCGUGAUGAUGACCGGUGGAAGAUGAGUUAUGCAUGAUGAACACUGUUUAUCUAGAACGCUGAGGUCCAA